CCUACGGGAGGCAGCAGUGGGGAAUUUUGGACAAUGGGCGAAAGCCUGAUCCAGCCAUUCCGCGUGAGUGAAGAAGGCCUUCGGGUUGUAAAGCUCUUUCGCAAGGAAAGAAAACUUAUCUCCUAAUACGGGGUGAGGAUGACGGUACCUUGAUAAGAAGCACCGGCUAACUACGUGCCAGCAGCCGCGGUAAUACGUAGGGUGCGAGCGUUAAUCGGAAUUACUGGGCGUAAAGCGUGCGCAGGCUGUUUUGUAAGUCAGAUGUGAAAUCCCUGGGCUCAACCUAGGAACUGCGUUUGAAACUACAAGGCUAGAGUGUAGCAGAGGGGGGUAGAAUUCCACGUGUAGCAGUGAAAUGCGUAGAGAUGUGGAGGAAUACCAAUGGCGAAGGCAGCCCCCUGGGUUAACACUGACGCUCAUGCACGAAAGCGUGGGGAGCAAACAGGAUUAGAUACCCUGGUAGUCCACGCCCUAAACGAUGUCUACUAGUUGUUGGGAGAGUAAAAUCUCUUAGUAACGCAGCUAACGCGUGAAGUAGACCGCCUGGGGGAGGUACGGUCGCGAGAAUAAACUAACUUAAAUUAGUAAGUUAGAGGCGNGAGACGNGCCGACGGACGACGACGAGGGAGGAGG
RNAcentral lists this ribosomal RNA (633 nucleotides) under uncultured bacterium. RNAcentral describes it as "bacterial SSU rRNA". The stretch from base 1 to 544 matches the Rfam family "Bacterial small subunit ribosomal RNA", at positions 338 to 873 of the family's 1533-position model. The record is from RNAcentral.